UACGGUCAAAUCACGCUGAAACACCGGUUCUCGUUCGAUCACCGAAGUUAACCAUCGUAGAGCCAGGUCAGUACUUAGAUGGGGGACCGCUUGGGAACACCUGGUACUGUAAG
This 113-nucleotide ribosomal RNA is filed under the name Acanthosepion pharaonis. The record is from RNAcentral. Lineage: Eukaryota; Metazoa; Mollusca; Cephalopoda; Sepiida; Sepiidae.